UACAGAGGUGGCAAGCGUUGUUCGGAAUUACUGGGCGUAAAGGGCGCGUAGGCGGCUUGGUCAGUCCCGUGUGAAAUCCCUCGGCUCAACUGAGGAACUGCACGGGAAACUGCCUGGCUUGAGUUCGGGAGAGGGAAGCGGAAUUCCGGGUGUAGCGGUGAAAUGCGUAGAUAUCCGGAGGAACACCGGUGGCGAAGGCGGCUCACUGGGGCUUUUCUGACGCUGAGGAACGAAAGCCAGGGGAGCGAACGGG
Molecule: ribosomal RNA, 253 nt
Filed under: uncultured bacterium
Lineage: Bacteria
Description: partial 16S ribosomal RNA
Rfam family: Bacterial small subunit ribosomal RNA
Source: RNAcentral